AUGUCGUUCCUGGGAACUAGUGGGUUCGGGUUCUUACAACGAGCCAAACGCAAGAAUGGUCUCUCGGGAUGGGUCCGGUCCAUUACGUUCCAUCCCAUGACAGAAAGCAAACACACCCUUAGACCUCUAUUCCUUCGUGUUUCUUUGACUGAUGCUAUUAAAAUGUCUGCUUAUGCUAAGUAUAUGAAUGAUAUUGUCGCUAACAAAAGAAAAAUACCUAAAGCUGAAAUAUCUACUAUGCUUGCUAAUUAUUCAUCCAAACGGAGGAUACCUGAAAGAUUCAGAGAUACCUACUCUCGAAAAAAAUCCAGAGAUACCUACUAUACCUUGCUCUAUUAA
RNAcentral lists this ribosomal RNA (339 nucleotides) under Triticum aestivum (bread wheat). RNAcentral describes it as "partial small subunit ribosomal RNA". Lineage: Eukaryota; Viridiplantae; Streptophyta; Magnoliopsida; Poales; Poaceae. The record is from RNAcentral.